This 443-nucleotide ribosomal RNA is filed under the name uncultured Saccharofermentans sp. Its description in RNAcentral is "partial 16S ribosomal RNA". Lineage: Bacteria; Bacillati; Bacillota; Clostridia; Eubacteriales; Oscillospiraceae. The record is from RNAcentral.
GACUACUGGGGUAUCUAAUCCUGUUUGCUCCCCACGCUUUCGCGCCUCAGCGUCAGUUACUGUCCAGAUAGCCGCCUUCGCCACUGGUGUUCCUCCUGAUCUCUACGCAUUUUACCGCUACACCAGGAAUUCCACUAUCCUCUCCAGCACUCAAGAUCUGCAGUUUCGGAUGACCUCUCCGGGUUAAGCCCGAAUCUUUCACACCCGACUUGCAAACCCGCCUACACGCCCUUUACACCCAGUAAAUCCGGAUAACGCUCGCCACCUACGUAUUACCGCGGCUGCUGGCACGUAGUUAGCCGUGGCUUGUUCUUCAGGUACCGUCAUUGCUUUCGUCCCUGAUCAAAGAAGUUUACAACCCGAAGGCCUUCGUCCUUCACGCGGCGUUGCUGGGUCAGGGUUUCCCCCAUUGCCCAAUAUUCCCCACUGCUGCCACCCGUAGG